Molecule: ribosomal RNA, 2355 nt
Filed under: Triticum aestivum (bread wheat)
Lineage: Eukaryota; Viridiplantae; Streptophyta; Magnoliopsida; Poales; Poaceae
Description: partial small subunit ribosomal RNA
Source: RNAcentral
AUGGGAAGUGCUGGUUUAGAGCAAACAAAGGCGCGCUCGCACAUCAAUUGUGCACAACCGGCGACAAGAACCUGGCAGAGGAAAUUCGACGAUGAAGGCAAGAAGAUCCAACUGUUUAGCAUGACCAUGAAUGACAAGAUAUCAAUCGCGUUCGUCUCGCGUCCCAACGGAAAGAGCUACUCGACGGUGUUGUCUGCGCCGACUGCUGAUGCCCUCAAGGGAGUCGAUAAGGCCACUAUUGGAUCUUGGGACUGGAAGCUUAAGGAGAGAAACUGUACUUAUCAUGCCUUGUUCCCAAGAUCUUGGACAGUUUACGAUGGUGAACCUGACCCUGAAAUCAAGAUCACCUGCCGUCAGAUAUCACCAAUCAUCCCUCACAACUACAAGGAGAGCAGCUUCCCUGUUGCAGUUUUCACUUUUACGGUGCAAAAUUCUGGGAGCACACCUGCAGAUGUAACAUUGCUCUUCACAGAGCGUGAUGGUGUGCGCGGCGUUCUUCUCCGUCACAGGACUGCGGAUGGGCACCCACCGGUGACGUUCGCCAUCGCGUCUCAAGAAACAGAGGACGUCCGCGUCACGGACUGCCUUCUCUUCACGAUGGGAUCGUCGGAGUCGGGCGACUUCACGGCCAAGGACAUGUGGGAGGAGAUCAAACAGCAUGGUUCCUUCAGCACCGGCAGAGAGCCAAGGGCGUCGGAGCCCGGAUCAUCCAUCGGAGCGGCGGUCGCGGCGGCAACGACGGUGCCGGCAGGGGGGAGCCGCGUGGUGUCCUUUGCUUUGUCGUGGUCGUGCCCCGAGGUGAAGUUCACGGACGGGAAAACGUAUCACAGGCUUUGUGGAACAGGAGGUACACCAAGUUCUGUGGCUUGGAUCGAGACGCUGCUGCAGCAAGCUUGGCAUGAUGCUCUUCUUGAACACAUGGAGUGGGAGUCGAAAAUCCAGGAGUGGCAGAGGCCUAUUCUGCAGGACAAAAGGCUGCCCGAGUGGUAUCCGGUUGCAUUGUUCAACGAACUCUACUAUCUGAUCGCUGGAGGCACCAUAUGGACAGAGAGGAUUCUGAUGCAGAGGCCGCCGGUGUGCUGCUCAUCGAGGGCUGGCCAGUUAUCGAAAUCGUUGGAAAUUGCUGCAAGAUGUCAUGCGCGCGAGGUGGUCUCCCGUUUGGCCUCGUGCGACCCGGUCGUACCAGAUUUUUUUCCAUUCUCCCUCGACGUGUUCCGCCGCACAGACCUGCAAGGCAGUGGCAGUGGCACCCCGGUCCCGGUGGUGGACGGCGUCCUGAGCGAGAUGACGUCCGUGACGGAGGGCCUGCGGUCGGCGGCGGCGCUCGGCGCGACGCUGCUCGGCGACGGCGAGGAGAACGUGGGGCAGUUCUUGUACCUGGAGUCGAUGGAGUACCACAUGUGGAACACCUAUGACGUCCACUUCUACGCAUCCUUCGCGCUGCUCUCUCUCUUCCCGGAGCUCGAGCUGAGCCUCCAGCGCGACUUCGCCCGCGCCGUCCUCCUCCACGACCCUCGCCCCAUGCGCACCCUCAGCGGCAGGACCGUGCCGCGCAAGGUCCUCGGCUCGGUGCCGCACGACGUUGGGCUCAACGACCCGUGGUUCGAGCUCAACGCCUACAUGCUCCACGACCCGUCGCGCUGGAAGGACCUCAACCCCAAGUUCGUGCUGCAGGUCUACCGGGCCGUCGUCGCCACGGGCAACGUCGCCUUCGCCAGGGCGGCGUGGCCGGCGGUGUACCUGGCCAUGGCGUACAUGGACCAGUUCGACCGGGACCGGGACGGCAUGGUCGAGAACGAGGGCCGCCCCGACCAGACCUACGACCUGUGGUCCGUGUCCGGAGUCAGCGCCUACACCGGCGGGAUCUGGGUCGCGGCGCUGCAGGCCGCCGCUGCCAUGGCGCGCGUCGUCGGCGACGGCGACGCCGAGUGCCACUUCCGCGCGCGGUACCGCAUGGCGAGGCGCGUGUACGAUGAGGAGCUCUGGAACGGCGCCUACUUCAGCUACGACAACAGUGGCGGCAAGACGAGCUCCUCCAUCAUGGCCGACCAGCUCGCGGGGCAGUGGUACGCUCGCGCGUGCGGCCUGGAGCCGGUGGUGGAGGAGGACAAGGCCCGGAGCGCGCUGGGGACGGUGCUGGACUACAACGUCAUGCGGGUGAAGGGCGGGACGGUGGGGGCGGUGAACGGGAUGCGGCCGGACGGCGCCGUCGACAUGUCGUCGACGCAGUCCAAGGAGAUAUGGCCCGGCACCACCUACCGCGCUGUGCAAGGCAGGGGAAAUGUCAGGUCAUACCAAUGUGGUGCUCCCGUGAGCUCUUGUGAACAUUUUGCAAAAGCUAUCCAAAAGUCUUAA